RNAcentral lists this ribosomal RNA (255 nucleotides) under uncultured bacterium. Its description in RNAcentral is "partial 16S ribosomal RNA". It matches the Rfam family "Bacterial small subunit ribosomal RNA", at positions 98 to 354 of the family's 1533-position model. The record is from RNAcentral.
CGGCACGGGUGCGUAACGCGUAUGCAACCUACCAUCAACAGGGGGAUAACACUGAGAAAUUGGUACUAAUACCCCAUAAUAUCUCAUGCGGCAUCGCAUGGGGUUGAAAACUCCGGUGGUUGAUGAUGGGCAUGCGUUGUAUUAGCUGGUUGGUGAGGUAACGGCUCACCAAGGCGACGAUACAUAGGGGGACUGAGAGGUUAACCCCCCACAUUGGAACUGAGACACGGUCCAAACUCCUACGGAAGGCAGCAG